AUACUUACCUGGCAGGGGAGAUACCAUGAUUGAGCAGGUGGUUUUCCCAGGGCGAGGCUCACCCAUUGCACAUGGGGUGUGAUUUCCCCAAAUGCAGGAAACUUGACUGCAUAAUUUCUGGUAGUGGGGCCUGUGUUUGCACUCUCCCCUG
RNAcentral lists this small nuclear RNA (151 nucleotides) under Peromyscus maniculatus bairdii (prairie deer mouse). RNAcentral's name for it is "U1 spliceosomal RNA (ENSPEMG00000001120.2)". It matches the Rfam family "U1 spliceosomal RNA". Rfam says of the family: U1 is a small nuclear RNA (snRNA) component of the spliceosome (involved in pre-mRNA splicing). Its 5' end forms complementary base pairs with the 5' splice junction, thus defining the 5' donor site of an intron. The record is from Rfam by way of RNAcentral. Lineage: Eukaryota; Metazoa; Chordata; Mammalia; Rodentia; Cricetidae.